GCAUCGAUGGUUCAAAGGUAGAAUGCUCGUUUCCCAAUCGAGUGACCCGGGUUCGAUUCCCGAUCGGUGCA
This 71-nucleotide transfer RNA is filed under the name Trichonephila clavata. It matches the Rfam family "tRNA". From Rfam's summary of the family: Transfer RNA (tRNA) molecules are approximately 80 nucleotides in length. The record is from Rfam by way of RNAcentral. Lineage: Eukaryota; Metazoa; Arthropoda; Arachnida; Araneae; Nephilidae.